GACAGAGGUGCCAAGCGUUAGGCGGAAUCACUGGGCUUAAAGCGUGUGUAGGCGGAUCGGUAAGUACCUUGUGAAAUCCCACAGCUUAACUGUGGAACUGCUUGGUAUACUGCCAGUCUUGAGCCACUUAGGGGCUACCGGAACAAAUGGUGGAGCGGUGAAAUGCGUAGAUAUCAUUUGGAACGCCAAUGGUGAAAACAGGUAGCUGGGAGUGUGCUGACGCUGAGACACGAGAGCCAGGGGAGCAAACGGG
Molecule: ribosomal RNA, 253 nt
Filed under: uncultured bacterium
Lineage: Bacteria
Description: partial 16S ribosomal RNA
Rfam family: Bacterial small subunit ribosomal RNA
Source: RNAcentral